This 71-nucleotide transfer RNA is filed under the name Pelagomonas calceolata. Lineage: Eukaryota; Pelagophyceae; Pelagomonadales; Pelagomonadaceae. The record is from RNAcentral.
AGAAUCGUGCGUAGAUUAGGAGAGCUGCCGGGUUUAACCAAUAAAACGACAACUCGCGAAACAUUACCAGG